GCGGGAGACUGAGGCCUGAAUGGCGCCGGCUCAGCAGUCUCGGGUUCUACGGUGCUGCAGCUGCCACAUCUUUCAGGCACAUCAGGUGAAGAAGAGUCUCAAGUGGACAUGCAAGGCUUGUGGAGAGAAGCAGUCUUUCGUGCGGAGGAAGAUGUGCCUCAGUGUGCAGCAGAGAGCUUACCUCCACUGUUAAAGCAGAUGCAGGUUAUCAGUCUUCUUUAAUCUUGCCGUCGUCCCCUGUGCCCAACUCCUGUCUACCCUCACUUGAACACACAGCAGACAGGACCACACUCUACUAGGCCUUGACUGCUGUGGCCAGUCAGUGACCUCCAUGUUGCCAAACAGGCUUAUGGCGAAGGCUCUGGUGCUGACUGUAGACGCCAUGUCCAAAAGCUAAAUCUGCUUCAAGGACAAGCGUCAGAGCUGUCACUCAGGCAUUGUCUGAGCCCCUCGAGUCCCGUUGGCUGAAGUAUCUGGACCAGGACUGUGAGGGCCAGGAGCUGGACAGAGGAAGACCAGCUCUUAAGACACAGCUCUCAGCCAGUGCUAAGUGGCCAAAUCUGCCCUGCAGUCCAGCCCGACCCAGGAAGAGGAAAUGGGAUCAGAGCACAGGGCAGCCUGCACACAGCCCGCGUGUCCAGGGUGUGGACAGUGGUGAGGACAACUUUCAACACCAGGACUCCACUGGCCUGUCUGGGACAGAGCAGCAAGGCAUUAGCCCUGCCCUCAGUACCACAAACCACAUCAGGGAGCUCGGUUUUCCUAGGUGGAAACUACCAAGUCCUGUCACGCAAGUUAAUGCCCCAUCUUCUAAAUGGGCACGGUUUCUCCUAUCGCCUGAGAACAGUCCACAAGUGGAUGGGAAACCAACAAGUCCUUUGCAGGAGGGCACCAGGCGAUCUGGCCUAGCACAAAUUGAGCAAGGGACUCUUGAGACCAAGACUCCAGGAGAAGGCCACUUCAUCAGAGACCCUGCCACCAUCCGGCCGCCUCUAACCAUUCACACUACCACUCCACAGCCAGACAAGCCUGACAGGAAGACCCCAGAGCAGCCAUGGGCCACGGGGACUCCUCAAGCAGAUGGUGGGCUUUUGGCUCAAGGGACACAGAAGGCUCCAUCCAUGCAACUGCACAACCUCUUUACAACCGGAGAGGACUUUGAGGAUGACCUGUAGCCUUCACUCUGAUCAUAUGUUACAUGAUC
Molecule: long non-coding RNA, 1204 nt
Filed under: Rattus norvegicus (Norway rat)
Lineage: Eukaryota; Metazoa; Chordata; Mammalia; Rodentia; Muridae
Description: long non-coding RNA NONRATT004214
Source: RNAcentral